CAUGACAUUUGCACAGAGUGAACUGUAGAUUCAGAAACAUAUUAGGGAAAGACAGAGGAACGACUGUUAAGUACAAAAGCAAAGGAAUAGAGAGAAAGUGGGUGGAAUAAUGCACUAACAUAUGGGAGAUGCCGCCACUGACAUCAUAAUGUGACCUUCUGACUGACAGCCUAUAGGACUGACACAAGCAGUGCGUCUUGGCCUUUCCUUUCCUCUUCUUGUUGUUUUUAAUUAAGGCUAAUGUAUUUAUUUGACUUUUUCCACCUCAUUUCCAUUUAAAACCAUAAACUUCCUCAAACGUGAUGCCAGCCCAGCAAGCAUUAACUGUUGGUUUGCGAUGCGUUAACUGUAGGUUCGUAAAGGCGUUAUCUACCUCAAGGUAACAGCAGAAGGCUCUGUCUCCCAACUGUAGUGCUUUAAAGAAACACUUGCCCUUUCAACGAUGUAGUGCACAGCGAUCUCUAUUUUUCAUUUUGCAUUUACCAUAGUGAAGUGUUGAGAUCAUUAUUUAUUUUUAGCAGAUGUGAGAUAUUUAUUUUAAGAAACGUAAUUUUUCAAUGUGAGGCAUUGGACUUCCAUUCUGGUCUGUUUUGGCGCUCUGUGUUUAGCUGUGGAUGAUCGCUUAUCCGUUUUGAGUUGUAUAGAAAUUCAUGAUGUUUUCCCAAAUUCAACUAUUUGUUUUCAAAAAGAAAUUUUCAUUCUUUUUUUAUCUUAUUUCUUUUUUUAUUAACCUUAUAGGUGCUUUGUAUGAGUGGAAUGCUGCUUUAUGCUAUUUUAUGCGCCUAAAAGUCUUAUUUUUUCUUUAAAAAAAUGUGCAUGGAAGAAAACCAGUAGAUGGUACAUUUAAAAUGAAGUUAAUGGUGAAGUAUAUUGUAAGUCAUUAAUUUUAUUUUAAUUGUUUUUAUGAAAGUUAAUUUUUUUUUUCCAAGCGAGCAUGAUUGAAUUAGUUUCAGGUAUAGCAUGUAGAACACUUAAUUAUUUUUUUAUUUUUUGUUGGUGUUAAUUUUGCCUUUAAAUGCUGGUUUCAUUCUGUUAUCAUUGGUUCCUCUGUAAAUAACAUCAAUAAAAUGGCCAGCAAGUGAA
This is a long non-coding RNA of Carassius carassius (crucian carp), 1083 nucleotides long. RefSeq lists it as uncharacterized. NCBI's taxonomy places the organism in Eukaryota, Metazoa, Chordata, Actinopteri, Cypriniformes, Cyprinidae. The transcript is spliced from 2 exons. The record is from RefSeq and is a predicted model, not a curated record.